RNAcentral lists this long non-coding RNA (7698 nucleotides) under Marmota monax (woodchuck). The stretch from base 24 to 95 matches the Rfam family "tRNA". Lineage: Eukaryota; Metazoa; Chordata; Mammalia; Rodentia; Sciuridae. The record is from RNAcentral.
UGCAGAUCUCACCUGUGGAGGCUGGAGGUGUGGCCUAGUGGCAGAGCUGGUGCUUAGCACGUGUGAGGCUCUGGGUUUGAUUCCCAGCACCUGCUUCCCCAAAUCACCCGUGAGUGAAUACGUGAGCCGAGCCCCAGGUUCUAUGUGCACUGUGGGUGGAAGGGAUCUUAAAGAGGCAGAUUUGAAAGGAUGCAAAAAGGAUUCUAGGCCCUAACCAGAGCUGGCUUCCCUCAAAAGUAUGUUGUUUAGGAGCUUAAAAAAAAAAAAAAAGGCUAAUAUUAAUAAUAUUGACUGAUCAUUAGGGAUUCUUCAGAUGUAUUUAACAUGUUUCUUCAUAAAUCUUUAUGAAGCUACCCUGAGAAAGAUCUUCUGAUGGGGUGCAGAAUAUGAUAAUUACUAGAGAUGAUUGAAGAUGUACACACAUUGGCUUCAGUUGAAACCUGGCUCUCCAUCCUCUGCAGGACUUCUGCGAAGGAGCUGGGAGAGGGAGAAUACAGCCUUCCUUCCCCAGCCCCCAGCUGUUGAGAACUUAACCUUUGAAUUUAAGAUCACAGUCAGCCUUACGUUUCUGCAGGUCCCACAUCUGUGGGUUCAACCAACUGUGGAUCAAAGAUGUUCGAAAAAUAGUUGUAUCUGUACUAAACAUGCAGAGAACUGUUCUAGCCUUUUUUCUAAAUGAUACAAUAUGACAACUAUCAACAUAGCAUUUAUAGGGUAUCAGGUUUUAUAAGUCAUCUAGAGAUGAUUUGUAUAGAUUCUAUGCAAAUAUUAUGCUAAUUUCUAUAAGGAACUCGAGCAUCUUCAGAUUUUGGUAUCCAUGGGGCUGAUACCAAGGGAUGAAUGUAUUUCUCCAAUUCAAAGUUUGAAACUAUAAACUUUAUAAAAUUGCUCUUGCCCAAGAUUAUCACACAUUGCCAUAUAAUUUUUUUUUUUUUUUUGUGACCUGCAACUUAAAGAGAACUGGAUUUAUAUUUAACUUUGACUUAUCCAGUCACCAGGGACCACUCUUCCUCUCUCAGACUCUUGAGUUUUUCUCUCUUGGCAGAAGGAAAGCUGUCUGCAUUUGGCCUGUUCUCUCUGACCAAAGUGGCUCAGUGUCUUCUGCAGGUAAGUGGGUUCAAGGUUACAUUUAAGAUGGCGUGUACUUGCUGCCUUGAAAACAUUUAAAUUGAUUAUUUGCAAGUGUGUUUUUGGCCACAGGCUAAAAUGAUGAGAGUCUGGAAAUCAGAUUAGCGCAGAAGCAAAUCAGAUUUUUGAAGUAUGUAUUCUAUCUUCAGGACUUCAAACUUGGGGAGGGAACCAUUUAAAGAAUUGAGUAUACUUUCUUUCUUUCCUUUUUAUUGAGAUAUUUGACAGCACGUGAGCAACACCUGAAUCAGAUUCUUCUGUGGUGCUGAGGAUGGAACCCAGGGCCUCCCAUGCUGGAUGAGCGCUCAGCCACUGAGCCAACUUCCGAGGCCUGGAGCAGAGUGUCCAUCCCGGAUUCUCACGCGUGGCUUUGAUUGUGUUUGUGCUUCUAAAGGAAUCGAUGCUCAAGUGGGGCCAGGUGAAUUCAUGCACAAUGUGACCUCAAUUGCUUUUUGUUUCGUUGUGGCAAAUAUAUAUAUAACUUGAAUUGUGUCAUCCUAACCAUUUAAAGUGCCCAGUUCAGUGGCAUUAGGUAAUUCAUGUACAACCAUCAACACCCUCCAUCUCCAGAACUUUAUCAUCACCUCAGACUGAAACUGUAUCCAUUAAACAUUAAUUUUUCAUUCCUUCUCCCCCAACCCCUGGCUACCAUCUCUCUGAAUUGGAUGGCAGGAGGUACCCAGGCAAGUAGAAUCAUACAGUAGCUGUCUUUUGUGUCUGGCUGACUUAACUUAGCAUAAUGCCCCCCUGGUUCAUCCAUGCCAUGGCAUGGUGUCAGAAUUUCCUUUCUCAAAGAGGCUAAGAUCCAGCACAUGUAUAUACUGCACACUACACUUUCUUUUUCUUCUCCUUUUUUUUUUUGGUACUGGGGAUUGAACUCAGGGUACUUGACCACUGAGCCACAUCCCCAGCCCUAUUUUGUAUUUUACUAAGAGGGUCUCAUUGAGUUGCUCAGUGCCUUGCUGUUGCUGAGGAUGGCUUUGAACUCACCAUCCUCCUGCCUUAGCCUCCUGAGCUGCUGGUACACCCCACCUCGCCUCUACCACAUGUUCUUCAUUCACCUACCAGUGCAUCUUUUGGCUCUUGUGAGUAAUGCUGUCACGAACAUGAGUGUGCAAAUAUCUGUUCAAGUCCCUGCUUCAGUCUUGCUCAUUUUUAUGUCCUGUGUCAUCUUUAGCACUGAUGAGUAAAACUCUUUCCAUUCUCGCAGAGUAGCCCUUUGGGGGUACUCUUUUAAUAUUCUGUAUUCUAUAGCAAAGCAAAAAAAAAAAAAAAAAGAUUGGAAAAUGUUGCUGACAAUCAACUUGUAGGACAAGUUAUUUUUCUUUUUGCAGGAAUCUUGCUGUUAAAGCACCCUUUUGUAAUCCCAUUUCAGGGCACGCUGAGCAGUUGAUCUGUUUACUGGCCGACAUGUGGUUUGGAGGGGAGGCUGUGGAGGGUGGAGUGACCCACUCUGGCUUGAUGCUGGGGCUCUGCCAGCUCAUCUGUGUCUUUAAAACAUUCUGCACAUGUUCACUUGAGACUGGCACCUGCCCUGCGCCAUCACCCUCUGUCACUUCCUUCCCUGUAUUUCAAAUUGAGCUUUCAAUGUCCUGCCCAGAUGCCUGGUUAAGAAGUCAUAGGAUUAAAAAACCAAAAAACCAAAAUAAUCCCCCCACCCCACAAGACACCCAGCACCUAAAGAAUAACCCAGUUCUACUAACUCAUUGUAAAACGUUUGGCUUUAUUUGGGUCUCAACCAUGAUGCCCCAAACCCCACGGGGCUUUCUCUCUGGGGAUCUUUCUGCGUUUUGGCUUCCCUGGGGCCCCACACACUCGGUUUGGUGGGCUAGUUCUGCCUUGUGUUUCAUCACAGGAAAGUUAUUCUGGGUCUCAAAAAGGCCUCGUAAAUCUGCUCCCCAGAUGGAAGUCUCCAGUAAAAAUCUCCUCUCUUUGUGCAUCUCUCAAAUUCCUCUUUAAUUUAAUUCAACAAAUGAAUAAUCAAAUGGGGUGUGAGAUAAGCUGUAAUCCCCCCCCCCAAAAAAAAAUUUUGUUUUUAAACAAGCACUAUUGUGAAUUUGACCACUUUCCUUAGUUUAUGAUUAGCCAAGUAUGCAGCAGGCGAACGGGUGAUUCCUCAGGAAGGCAGUCAAGGGUAAGCUGAAGGUCAUUAACCAGUGCACAGCACUGGGUAGGCAAAAUGUUACUGGAUCCUAGCAUAUUUGUUAUUCCUUUCUUAAAAGGAACUUCAUAACACAAGUUUGAGUUUAUAAGAGGCUGAGAUAUAAUUUCUCUUUAAAGAGACAGGUUAAGGGAUAGGUAGGCCCCAGGGUCAAGGGCAUAGGGAUCAGCAUUGUGACCUUGGAGUGGAGAACUAGACCUGACACGGGUCUUAGGACUUUUGUUCUGCUCCCAAGCAGGAGAGAUGACAUGGGGAGGUGCUGCUUGUGUGACUAGGCCUGGUGACUUGGUGGGUUGAUGGCACCUUUUGGGCAGCCUGUGGAUGUCUGCCCUGAAACCCAACGGAAGCAUUCCUUCCUCCCUCCCUCUCCCCACAUGCACAGCUGAGGCUGGGUUUCCCCUCUUCUGUACAUGCUUCUGCUUUGGAUUAUGGGCAUAAGAAACACACAGUGUUCUUUCUACAAGUACACACUUUUUUUUAAAGCCUUUUAUAUGUUUUUUUAAAAUAUAUGUUUUUGCAGGGUGUGGUGGUGCAUACUUUUAAUCCCAGUGGCUCAGGAGGCUGAGGCAGAAGAUCUGCAGGUUGAAAGCCACCCUCAGCAACAUAACGAGGUCCUAAGCAACUUGGAGAGACCCUGUCUCAAAAUAAAAAUAAGUUAAUUUAUUGUGGCUCAGUGGUUAGGCACUCCUGGGUUCAAUCCCUGGAAGAAAAAUUUUUUCAAAAGUAAUAAUUCUAUAAUUUUUUUAGAAAUUAUUUUUUUAAAAAAAUAAUGUUUAUAAUUUUUCCAAAAAUUAUAAGAGCCUCCCAGGUAGGUUGAAACAAAACAACACAGAACAGCAAAUAAAAAGUACUUCAACCCCUCCUAUCCCUCCUGGUUUCUCCCCACUCUCCCAAACCCAUAAUCAUGGAAUUGCACAUGAACCCUCUGUAUUCUUAUUUUAUAGAAAUAUUUUAUGAAUUGCAUAGCAGGUGGUUUUGCUUUAGAGAUCUGGAGUCAUCGUACAGCUGCCGUUGCUUCUGGGUUUCAGUUACCCAUGGUCAAUAGGCAUCCUUGUCCUGGCCUGUCAUCAGAAGGUCCACAGUAGCCUAAGCUAUGUCUCCAUGUCUGGGUCUUUCCCUUCAGUGCAUCUUAUCACGAGGGCAUCGCAUCAUCUCACACCGUCACAGGGAGAAGAAGAGUGAGUUCAGUAUAAGGAGAUGAUUUGGGGGGAGAAAAAGAGAGUGACUAUAUUCACAUACCUUUCAUUACAGUAUGUUGCUAUAAUUGUCUUAUUGCUAUUUUUAAUCUCUCACUGUGCCUAAUUUAGAAAUUAAGCUUUAUCAUAGGUGUGGGUGUGGAUAGGAAUAAAAAAGCAGUGGACCAUACUGGGCUUGGCACUAUCUACAGUUUCAGGUAUCUGCUGGAGGUCUGAGGUUAGAGGGGGCUACUGUACAUAUAUUUGUGAAUGUUUUUCACUUUUGAGUAUAGCAUGGACAAGUUUCCAGAUCAGUAUAGAGACCGAACUCAUUUAAGAGGUACGUACCACUACCUAUGAAAAUUUGCUACCAUUUAUUCAGACAUCCCUGAUUGACAGACUUGCAACUUGCUUCCAGGUUUUACUACCAGGAACAAUGCUACAACUGGAAUCCUGUACAUAGAAACACCCAAGCUUUUACUUCUAGAGGAUGGAUAUCUUGCAGUGAGGUUCUGGGGUAUGCCCAAUUUUAAUACAUAUUGAUUGUUGACUUUCCCAAAAUUGAGUAGCUCACACCAUCGCUGGCAAUGGGAGAACACCUUAAACAUUUACAUUUCCUUUCCUGGGACUGGCCUAUUAUUUUUCAUAUUUGGGGGGGGUGUAUCUUUAAAUUAUUGAUUUAUAGCUCUCCAGCUGCCAUAUCAUUAUAAUAUUUCCUUUUAGCCUAUUCGUUGUCUUUUGACUUAGUGGUCCACAUCUUUUGUCAUAUGGACACCAUGACACCACAGAUGACUUUUCUUGUAGUCAAAGCUCUCGAUCUGUUUUUGGCUUCUGACACUCUUGCUUAAAACCUUCUCUACUUCAAGCAAGCAUCUCUCCCAUUCCCCAUUUUAUUCUAAAACUUCUAUUACCUAUUUUUGAUAUCAAAAUCCUUACUCUCUGUUGAAAUUUAUUUUUAAAGAGGAGAUGGGAAAGGAGAUAUGUAUAAUUAAAUUAUUUUUUCCCAGAUAGUUUCCAGUGAUGCCAACAGCAUAUAUGAAGCAAUCAAUUUCCUCUCUUUAAACUGAUGAUAAAUGCAUCAUAUGGUACUUGUUCUUAUUUCUGGGAUCCGUUCUUUUCCACUGAUCCAUUUGUUCCUGUGGCAAUUCUACAGAGUUUACAAUGGCUUUAAUCAUUAGUGUCGAUGUAUGGAAGGGCAAGCUUUCUCAUCAUUUUAGUUUUAAAUAUUUUUGGUAACUUCCAUGGAAAUGUUAACAUUAUCUAGCACCCAGACAUUUUCUUGGUAUUCCAAUUGGAAUUUUUAAAAAAUCAUCAUAUCCUUUUAGAAGACAUAUAUUAUUUUAUUGAGUUUCUCAUCCAGGAACAUUUUAUGUCUUUUAGUAAAAUUUUGUAGCCUACUUUGCAUAAAUUGUAUCUAUUUCUUGUUACAUUGAUUCAAAGAUAUUUUGUGUUUUUUACUAUGUUGAUUGAGAUUAUUUUUCAAUUUCCUUUUAAAAUUAUUUAUUUAUUUAUUUAUUUUGAGGCAGGGUCUAUCUUUGUUGCUCAGACUGGCUUUGAACUCUUGAUCUUCCUGCCUCAGCCUUCUGAGUCGCUGGGAUUAAAUGGGUAUAUCACCAUGCUCAGCACCAUUUCAUUUCUAAACUGGCUAUUACUAACAUAAAUAAGAACCUUUGAAUUUCAUAAAUUUAUUGCAUGUAGUUACCUUAUCAAAUUGUCCUAGUUCUUAUAAUAGAUUUUAAAGAUAGAAUCUUUCCCUUUUUCAGGUGUAGUCAUUUUAAUAUGUAAACAUAUUAGUCUUCCAAUGGUGAGAUUCCUUUUUAAGUUUUCUUGUCUUAUCGCAUUCGUGAGAACUUGCCAAAGUAGAUUGAAUAACUUUGGUGAAGAAGACAUUUUUGCCCUAGUUCAUAUUUGAAGGAAACCACUUUGCUAUUUCCUUGUUUGAUAUAAUGUCUGUUGGUCUUGAAGCUUUUUGUCACUCUUUAAAAAAAAAUUAGGAUUGUCUCCUGGAUUUUAUCAAAUGCCUGUUUUUCUUCAAUGUGAAUAUUAUUUGUCAUCUUUAAAAAUAAACCUCUCCCUAAGGGCCCCCACUUUCAAUGAUGUUGCUAUUAGCUGGAAAUUGAAAAAAUCUCACAGUUAGCAAUGGAUGUCAAACUCUGGUAACUUGCCACAUCCUGUGGAGUCCUGGAUGAUGUCAGCUUGGAGUUGUCAUUUGCAUACAGCAAGGAAAGGCACAGCAAGACAGAAACCAGGGACUUACGGGAAGGGUGGAGGUGAGUGUCUUACUUCUGAAGCAGCUGGGGAGACCAGGAAGCAGGAGCAGGGUGAGGAGUGCUGAUCACCAGGUGCUAUCAAUCAACCCGACAGCGUGAACCUGGGCGGCAAGGGUGGGGCGGAGGGUGGAAGCCAGUAUGAUUCUUCACUAAGCAUUGGGUAGAAAACUCCAGAAACCUGUGGAGCAGAUACCAAAGUCUGGUGUGAAUGACAGCUCAGGCCAUGGGCAGGCCAGGUGAGUGAGGCAUAGGAAUCAGAGGCUGGGGAGUAGGUGUAGGUGAUUCCAUGGUCGAGCUUAAUCUCCCGGGGUUUAGGACUACUGUGAAAGGCUGAAGAACUUGUUUCUUUGUCAUAUUUUGGGUAUUUUUAAUUUUAUGUUUUCUUUUUAGACUUUUAAUUUUUAUUUAUUUUUCUUGAGACAGGGUCUUGCUGUGUUGCUCAAGCUGGCCUCAAACUCCUGGACUCAAGCCAUCCUCCUGCCUCAGCCUCCAGUAGCUGGAACUACAGAUACAGGCUGGGGUCAUCUUGAAGAUAGUUUGGUAGGUUAUCUGUGAAUAAAAUGUAUGAUGAAAAAUUUGAACAACAUAGGCAUUAGUGCUUCCUGAGUGUUAUUGGGUGCUUUCUUCCUUUACAAAAGAAAUAUUAUCUUAAGCCCUCAUUUUUUUUUUUUUUGGUACCAGGGGCACAUGACCACUGAGCCACAUCCCCAGCCCUAUUUUGAAUUUUAUUUAGAGACAGGGUCUCACUGAGUUGCUUAGUGCCUUACUUAUUGCUGAGACUGGCUUUGAACUUGUGAUCCUCCUGCCUCAGCCUUCCUAGAAGCUGAGAUUUCAGGAGUGUGCCACCGGGUCCGGCCCAAAAUUUUAAAAUAAUCUUGAUUCCUAAAAAAAGGGAAAUAUAAAACAUGGAUAAAAAUGUGAUCUAGAAAACAGAAAAAUACAAAGAAAAAUAAGAAUAUAACCC